This 130-nucleotide ribosomal RNA is filed under the name Cladophora vagabunda. Its description in RNAcentral is "partial small subunit ribosomal RNA". It matches the Rfam family "Eukaryotic small subunit ribosomal RNA", at positions 1670 to 1804 of the family's 1831-position model. Lineage: Eukaryota; Viridiplantae; Chlorophyta; Ulvophyceae; Cladophorales; Cladophoraceae. The record is from RNAcentral.
CGCCCGUCGCUCCUACCGAUUGGGUGUGCUGGUGAAAUGUUCGGAUUGGUAGCCUUUCCGUAAGGGAGGCUCCUGAGAAGUUCACUGAACCCUCUCAUCUAGAGGAAGGAGAAGUCGUAACAAGGUCUCC